This 43-nucleotide transfer RNA is filed under the name Camelus knoblochi. RNAcentral describes it as "partial tRNA-Asp". The record is from RNAcentral. Lineage: Eukaryota; Metazoa; Chordata; Mammalia; Artiodactyla; Camelidae.
CCUUGUCAAGGCUAAAUUACAGGUGAGACCCCUGUAUAUCUCU